RNAcentral lists this ribosomal RNA (494 nucleotides) under uncultured bacterium. RNAcentral describes it as "partial 16S ribosomal RNA". It matches the Rfam family "Bacterial small subunit ribosomal RNA", at positions 28 to 507 of the family's 1533-position model. The record is from RNAcentral.
GACGAACGCUGGCGGCGUGCUUAACACAUGCAAGUCGAACGGAAAGGCCUGCUUUCCCUUGUGGAUUGCGGGUACUCGAGUGGCGAACGGGUGAGUAACACGUGAGUGAUCUGCCCCCAACUUGGGUAUAAGCCUGGGAAACUGGGUCUAAUUCCCGAUAGGACUGCAGGGUGGUGCCUGUGGUGGAAAACGAUUUUCUAGUGGUUGGGGAUGAGCUCGCGGCCUAUCAGCUUGUUGGUGGGGUAAUGGCCUACCAAGGCGGCGACGGGUAGCCGGCCUGAGAGGGUGGACGGCCACAUUGGGACUGAGAUACGGCCCAGACUCCUACGGGAGGCAGCAGUGGGGAAUAUUGCAUAAUGGGCGGAAGCCUGAGGCAGCGACGCCGCGUGGGGGAUGACGGCCUUCGGGUUGUAAACUCCUUUCGACCGCGAGGAAGCCACCUGGUUGGAAGGGUGGUGACGGUAGUGGUAGAAGAAGCACCGGCUAACUACGUG